GUCACCGCUGCGGCGGGACCAGCAGGUGCGUGUCCCCGGCCACGCGCAGCCCCGCGCCCGCCCGCCCGCCCGGCCCGCACUCACCGCCGCCGCGCCGCCUCCCGUGCCCGCCGCCCGGACGUCAUGCUGCCCGGCUCCCUCCUCCUCCGCCGCAACUUGGGGGCCCGCGGCCGCCCUACCCGCCCCCAGCAUGCUGGGCCCCGGCCCCGCCGGCUGCAGCGCCGACAAGGAUUGCUCAGGAUUCAGGAUGAAAGUGCCUUCCAAUCCCCAUGAGCCCAUGUGACCAGCCAACUGGUUCCUGCCCAGAUAUCCUGAGUGCCAAGAAAUUGAUUUUGCUUCUUAAUCACACAGGAAAAUGGCUGGGGUGGGGGUGGGGAGAGAUAGCACAAUUGGUAGAGCCCAGGCCUUCCACGCCUCAAAUUCCUAGUUCAGUCCUCAGUACUGCAGAUAGCAGAGAGAUACCUUCACUUCUUCUCUCUCUUCUCCCCCCGCCUUGCUCUCUCCCUCACUGAAAUGCUCUCUCAUGUGAAGUAAGUGUAUACAUAAAUGAGUACUUUUUAAAAGACAGCACAAAAGUGAGAACCAGAAGUCAGGAGCCCUGUGAUGUAUGUUUCUGAACAGCUGUGCGUGGCCUGUGACAAAUGAUUGAAACAUCCCAGGUCUCUGUUUCCUCCUUCAACAAGGGGAUUUGACCUCACUCCAAGGUCCUUUCCGUUCUAACCACCAACAAGGCUAAAACAUAGAUGAGAGAAAGAAAGAAAGAAAGAAAGAAAGAAAGAAAGAAAGAAAGAAAGAAAGAAAGGAAGGAAGGAAGGAAGAAAGGGGCAAUGAGCCGGGUGAGCCUAGUAAUUUUGGAAAGUGAUAUAUAUAUAUAUAUAUAUAUGAACAGUGGUACACCUGGUUAAAGCAGACAUGUUACCAUGCAUAAGGACCCAGGCUCGAGCCCCCAGCCCCCCACCUGCAAAGAGGAAACUUUAUGAGGGGUGAAGCAGGGCUGCAGAUGUCUCUCUGUCUCUCUCCCUCUCUAUCUCCCCCUUCCCUCUCAUUUUCUCUCUGCUUUGUCAGCUAACGGGGGAGAAGAGAAAGCACACGGGAGUGGUGAGUUCAUCAUGCGGACACCAAGCUGAACCACAAGGACAAACCUGGUGGCAAUAAAAUAAGUCAAUUAAUUAA
Molecule: long non-coding RNA, 1173 nt
Organism: Erinaceus europaeus (western European hedgehog)
Lineage: Eukaryota; Metazoa; Chordata; Mammalia; Eulipotyphla; Erinaceidae
Exons: 3
Source: RefSeq, a predicted model, not a curated record